Molecule: transfer RNA, 90 nt
Filed under: Deltaproteobacteria bacterium
Lineage: Bacteria; Pseudomonadati; Myxococcota; Myxococcia
Description: tRNA-Ser
Rfam family: tRNA
About the family: Transfer RNA (tRNA) molecules are approximately 80 nucleotides in length. Their secondary structure includes four short double-helical elements and three loops (D, anti-codon, and T loops).
Source: RNAcentral
GGAGAGGUGGCCGAGUGGUCGAAGGCGGCGGACUCGAAAUCCGCUGUAGGCGUUCGUCUACCGUGGGUUCGAAUCCCACCCUCUCCGCCA